Molecule: ribosomal RNA, 1055 nt
Filed under: Microcreagrinae sp. UAIC<USA-AZ> 1113026
Lineage: Eukaryota; Metazoa; Arthropoda; Arachnida; Pseudoscorpiones; Neobisiidae
Description: LSU rRNA
Rfam family: Eukaryotic large subunit ribosomal RNA
Source: RNAcentral
UCCCCAGUAACGGCGAGCGAACGGGGGAGAGCUCAUAGCCGAAUCCGGCGUUGCAAGACGUCGGAAAUGUGGCGUAUGGGAGGCGGAAUCUUCCGAGCGCGACCGGCGGUACAAGUCCCCAUGAGAGGGGCCUCCCAGAGCGGGUGCUAGGCCCGUACUGCUGCCGGUCCGUGCGCGGAAUGCCGUUCUCCCGGGAGUCGGGUUGCUCGGGAGUGCAGCCCUAAGUGGGUGGUAUACUCCACCUAAAGCUAAAUAAGACCGAGAGACCGAUAGCGAACAAGUACCGUGAGGGAAAGUUGAAAAGCACUUUGAAGAGAGAGUUCAAGAGUACGUGAAACCGUUCAGAGGUAAACGGGUGGGACCUCGAAGUCCGAAGACGGUGGCGGAUUCAGUUCGGCUCGGGGCACCCCCUCUUGGACGUCACCCCUCGACGGGGCCGUCCGAGAGGUAGGGGGCUUCGGGACGGGCGCACUUCCGCUCCCCGUCCGGUAGGGCGUCGCGACCGGUUGGAAGGCUGUCGUAAGGGCGGGCGCCGAAGGUAGCCGCAUUUCCCUCGGGAUUUACGGUGUUACAGCUGUCCGUCCCCGACGGGUCGUCCGACCGUGGUCUUUAGCGUUCCCUUCCAGAAGGAAGCGUCGUUCGGGUCGAGCAUUCGGCGGGCUGGCGUGCCACCCUCAAAGGUGAGCGUCUCCCGAAGGAGGUUUCUGUCUCGAGGCGACGCGGGGAGCUCUAGGUCGCGACGAGUAGGUCGGUUACCCACCCGACCCGUCUUGAAACACGGACCAAGGAGUCUAACGCGUGUGCGAGUUCCCGGGACUUGAAUAGGCCCGUGGGCGCAAUGAAAGUGAAGGGCGGCUUCUGCCGUCCGAGUUGGGAUCCGCCCCUUCGGGGGCGGCGCACCAACGGCCCGUCCGAUGCCGUUCUCGGCAGGGCGGAGCUAGAGCAUACGCUCUGGGACCCGAAAGAUGGUGAACUAUGCCUGGGCAGGACGAGGCCAGAGGAAACUCUGGUGGAGGUCCGUAGCGAUUCUGACGUGCAAAUCGAUCGUCAGACCU